This 429-nucleotide ribosomal RNA is filed under the name Acidobacteriota bacterium. RNAcentral's name for it is "Acidobacteria bacterium partial 16S ribosomal RNA". It matches the Rfam family "Bacterial small subunit ribosomal RNA", at positions 355 to 776 of the family's 1533-position model. Lineage: Bacteria; Pseudomonadati; Acidobacteriota. The record is from RNAcentral.
UAGGGAAUCUUCCACAAUGGACGAAAGUCUGAUGGAGCAACGCCGCGCGAGUGAAGAAGGGUUUCGGCUCGUAAAACUCUGUUGUUAAAGAAGAACAUAUCUGAGAGUAACUGUUCAGGUAUUGACGGUAUUUAACCAGAAAGCCACGGCUAACUACGUGCCAGCAGCCGCGGUAAUACGUAGGUGGCAAGCGUUGUCCGGAUGUAUUGGGCGUAAAGCGAGCGCAGGCGGUUUUUUAAGUCUGAUGUGAAAGCCUUCGGCUCAACCGAAGAAGGGCAUCGGAAACUGGGAAACGUGAGUGCAGAAGAGGACAGUGGAACUCCAUGUGUAGCGGUGAAAUGCGUAGAUAUAUGGAAGAACACCAGUGGCGAAGGCUGCUGUAUGGUCUGUAACUGACGCUGAGGCUCGAAAGUAUGGGUAGCAAACAGG